GACAGAGGGUGCAAACGUUGCUCGGAAUCACUGGGCGUAAAGGGCGUGUAGGCGGGCAGGCAAGUCAGAUGUGAAAUCCCCAGGCUCAACCUGGGAACUGCAUUUGAAACUCCCUUUCUUGAGUACCGGAGAGGAAAGUGGAAUUCCUGGUGUAGCGGUGAAAUGCGUAGAUAUUAGGAGGAACACCAGUGGCGAAGGCGGCCUACUGGGCUUUAACUGACGCUGAGGCUCGAAAGCGUGGGGAGCAAACAGG
RNAcentral lists this ribosomal RNA (253 nucleotides) under uncultured bacterium. Its description in RNAcentral is "partial 16S ribosomal RNA". It matches the Rfam family "Bacterial small subunit ribosomal RNA", at positions 524 to 776 of the family's 1533-position model. The record is from RNAcentral.